AGAGCUCGUAAGUUUGUAGCCAUAGCAGAAGCACUCAUGGUGUGGCCCUUUCAGAUUUCAAUGAACCUGCAAAUCCUGCU
Molecule: ribozyme, 80 nt
Filed under: Crocodylus porosus (Australian saltwater crocodile)
Lineage: Eukaryota; Metazoa; Chordata; Crocodylia; Crocodylidae
Description: Mammalian CPEB3 ribozyme (ENSCPRG00005016439.1)
Rfam family: Mammalian CPEB3 ribozyme
About the family: The mammalian CPEB3 ribozyme is a self cleaving RNA located in the second intron of the CPEB3 gene which belongs to a family of genes regulating messenger RNA polyadenylation. This ribozyme is highly conserved and found only in mammals.
Source: RNAcentral